Molecule: ribosomal RNA, 479 nt
Filed under: Earicandona mounchyon
Lineage: Eukaryota; Metazoa; Arthropoda; Ostracoda; Podocopida; Candonidae
Description: LSU rRNA
Rfam family: Eukaryotic large subunit ribosomal RNA
Source: RNAcentral
AAUGCCUCGUCAUCCAAUUAGUGACGCGCAUGAAUGGAUUAACGAGAUUCCCACUGUCCCUAUCUACUGUCUAGCGAAACCACAGCCAAGGGAACGGGCUUGGAAAAAUCAGCGGGGAAAGAAGACCCUGUUGAGCUUGACUCUAGUUUGACUUUGUGAAGAGACAUGGGAGGUGUAGCAUAAGUGGGAGACUUUGUCGCCAGUGAAAUACCACUACUCCCAUCGUUUCUUUACUUACUCGAUGAAGUGGAGUGCGACCCUUAUCAGGGUCACCCUACUUGCUCAAAGUGAUGGGGUGUCCAUUGGGCAUCCUACACGAUCCAAUUCGAGGACAUUGUCAGGCGGGGAGUUUGACUGGGGCGGUACAUCUGUCAAAUACUAACGCAGGUGUCCUAAGGUUAGCUCCGUCAGGACAGAAACCUGGCUUAGAGCAAAAGGGCAAAAGCUAGCUUGAUCUAUGACGUUCAGUAAACGUAUAG